UAUUAAUUUCAGGAAGAGCUUGAAGAGAAUAAACUUGCGAUUAAUGAAGGUUCCUUUCUUCCAGACAUGGUUGGAAAUCUUGUGAUGAAAGCAACCUCAAAUAAAUCCAUGGAUUCUCUUCCAACAGAUUUGUCAGAUAAUUCAGAGUCAGGGGAUAAUAUGCUUCACAGAAGAAAACCAGGGGUUCAUCGGUCCCUUCCAACUCUAGGAUCACAGGGUAGACCAGGCAUAUUUAGGAAA
Eurytemora carolleeae is the source of this 240-nucleotide long non-coding RNA. RefSeq lists it as uncharacterized. The record is from RefSeq and is a predicted model, not a curated record. Lineage: Eukaryota; Metazoa; Arthropoda; Copepoda; Calanoida; Temoridae. The transcript is spliced from 3 exons.